This 371-nucleotide unclassified non-coding RNA is filed under the name Kingianthus paradoxus. RNAcentral describes it as "partial external transcribed spacer". The record is from RNAcentral. Lineage: Eukaryota; Viridiplantae; Streptophyta; Magnoliopsida; Asterales; Asteraceae.
GCAUUCCUCUUUGACAUAACCCACCCGCUGGUACGAGCCAAUGCGGGCUGGGCGGUCAUUUUAAGAGAAGCGAGAACACUAAACGAGGGCAGAACAGGAUCCCAUGAGACCCCAUGCCCACAUCAGGUUCCGUAUCCAAGAUACCAAGCAAUGCUCAAUGGGCCACAACAUCAACGCAAGCAUUAACGAUGUGGUUCAAAGAGACAGCUUCAAGGUCCAUCUCAUGUCAUGUGGAUGACACGAGACGAAAGCGACUACGAUCGAUUGAGGCAAUACCGUAACUUAGGUAGGCAACACAAGAAACCCACAUUACGCUUAGGCGAUACAAGCCUAAACAGGCAACUGAAAAGGUAAGCAAGGUGGAAGUUGUU